GCCUGCUCUAUGUCUAUUAAUCCAUCCUUCCUUUCAAUCUUUCUGCAUGGUCCUCUUCUUACCUCUUCUUACCUGCUAUGAAAUUGCCAGAUGACAAUGGCUGGACGAAUCAUUCCUGACUGAUUUUUUUUUUUUUCUUCUUAUAAAGUUAACCUCAUUUCCCUGUUACUUGUAUGUGUAGCAAGUCUCUAAUUAGCUGUUUCCUAUUCAGACAUCCCACGUGUCUCUACUUGAUUUCAAUUUCAGUGAGUAAAGCAUCUUGCAAUAAAUCAGGAAAGAUCUGUGAAGAGGAAAUUUGUUUUCUAGUGGGUAUGUUGUCAUUGGCAGAUCACAAACUAAGAAAUGACCAUGGAGCAAUUUUGAGCCUACAGACUGCGUGUUGUCCAGAGGAGGGCCACGAAGAUGAUCGGAGGGCUGGAGAACCUCUCCUAUGAAGAAACGCUGAGAGAUCUGGGGAUGUUUGGCUUGGAGAAGAGAAGUCUCUGGGGAGACCACAUUGCAGCCUUUCACUACAUAAAGAGGGCUUAUGAAAAAAACAGAGUGACUUUUUACUUGUGCAGACAAUGACAGGACAAGGGGGAAUGGUUUUAAACUAAAAGAAGGAAAAUUUAAAUUGGAUGUUAGGAGGAAAUUCUUCACUCAGUGGAUGGUGAGGCACUGGAACAGGUUGCCCGGAGAAGCUGUGGAUGCCUCAUCCCUGGAGAUGUUCAAGACCAGACUGGACAAGGCUGUGGGCAACCUGGCCUGGUGGGAGGCAUGCCAGCCCAUAGCAGGUAGUUGGAACUAGUUGAUCUUUAAGGUUGCUUCCAACACAAACCGACACUAUGAUUCUUUGACAUUUUCAUGAAGCUUGCUAUCAGUAUCACAUAGGCUUCUAAUUCAGAAAGAACCAUAGCUGAUGGUGUGCAUCAUCUUUAAUGAUUUGAUUUCAAUUAAUGAACGACUUCAAGGAGCCUCAAAAGUUGCUAAUGGAGAAGAAUUCCUAGCAAUCAUAUGAUUAAUUUUUAUUUUCCUUCAAGCAAAAGAGACUAGAGGAC
RNAcentral lists this long non-coding RNA (1037 nucleotides) under Anas platyrhynchos platyrhynchos (common mallard). Its description in RNAcentral is "lncRNA (ENSAPLG00000020845.1)". Lineage: Eukaryota; Metazoa; Chordata; Aves; Anseriformes; Anatidae. The record is from RNAcentral.